AUUGAACAAAUAGAUUACUUGAUUAUCACGCUAGCCAAAUUCACUCAAGGUAGAGACAACUUAGAUGUUGUAUUAAGGUCUUCGGGUAGAGCUAUUUACAAGUAAGGAAUAGGCCAUAAAGCUCAGACUAACCGAACCAAUGCAAAAAGGUUUAUUGAUUUAAGCAAACCUGCUAGAAUUGCUUGCUUUUAUUGCAAACCUAAAGCUAAAAUUAUCCCAAACCUACAACACAAGCUACCACUCAAUGCCACGCUAGUUCCACUUACCGC
This 269-nucleotide long non-coding RNA is filed under the name Vigna radiata. RNAcentral describes it as "long non-coding RNA (VRAD_LNC004297)". Lineage: Eukaryota; Viridiplantae; Streptophyta; Magnoliopsida; Fabales; Fabaceae. The record is from RNAcentral.